GCCGAAGUGGUGAAAUUGGUAUACGCGCAUGAUUCAGGUUCAUGUGGGGCAACCCGUGCGGGUUCGAGUCCCGCCUUCGGCA
RNAcentral lists this transfer RNA (82 nucleotides) under bacterium. RNAcentral's name for it is "tRNA-Leu". It matches the Rfam family "tRNA". From Rfam's summary of the family: Transfer RNA (tRNA) molecules are approximately 80 nucleotides in length. Their secondary structure includes four short double-helical elements and three loops (D, anti-codon, and T loops). Further hydrogen bonds mediate the characteristic L-shaped molecular structure. tRNAs have two regions of fundamental functional importance: the anti-codon, which is responsible for specific mRNA codon recognition, and the 3' end, to which the tRNAs corresponding amino acid is attached (by aminoacyl-tRNA synthetases). tRNAs cope with the degeneracy of the genetic code in two manners: having more than one tRNA (with a specific anti-codon) for a particular amino acid; and 'wobble' base-pairing, i.e. permitting non-standard base-pairing at the 3rd anti-codon position. RNAcentral also lists the same sequence under 1 other name. The record is from RNAcentral.